AUUGAACGCUGGCGGCAUGCCUUACACAUGCAAGUCGAACGGCAGCACGGGAGCAAUCCUGGUGGCGAGUGGCGAACGGGUGAGUAAUAUAUCGGAACGUGCCCAGUCUGGGGGAUAACGUAGCGAAAGCUACGCUAAUACCGCAUACGAUCUACGGAUGAAAGCGGGGGAUCGCAAGACCUCGCGCGAUUGGAGCGGCCGAUAUCAGAUUAGGUAGUUGGUGAGGUAAAGGCUCACCAAGCCGACGAUCUGUAGCUGGUCUGAGAGGACGACCAGCCACACUGGGACUGAGACACGGCCCAGACUCCUACGGGAGGCAGCAGUGGGAAUUUUGGACAAUGGGCGCAAGCCUGAUCCAGCAAUGCCGCGUGCAGGAUGAAGGCCUU
This 386-nucleotide ribosomal RNA is filed under the name uncultured bacterium. RNAcentral describes it as "bacterial SSU rRNA". It matches the Rfam family "Bacterial small subunit ribosomal RNA", at positions 30 to 418 of the family's 1533-position model. The record is from RNAcentral.